This 240-nucleotide unclassified non-coding RNA is filed under the name soil metagenome. RNAcentral describes it as "partial contains 5.8S ribosomal RNA, internal transcribed spacer 2, and large subunit ribosomal RNA". The record is from RNAcentral.
AACCUAGCACACCUGCGGUGUGUACCUGCGGAGGGAUCAUUACCGAGUUUACAAACUCCCAACCCUUUGUGAACCUUACCAUAUUGUUGCUUCGGCGGGACCGCCCCGGCGCCUUCGGGCCCGGAACCAGGCGCCCGCCGGAGGCCCCAAACUCUUAUGUCUUUAGUGGUUUUCUCCUCUGAGUGACACAUAAACAAAUAAAUGAAAACUUUCAACAAUGGAUCUCAGAUCGGAAGAGCA